This 429-nucleotide ribosomal RNA is filed under the name Actinomycetes bacterium. RNAcentral's name for it is "Actinobacteria bacterium partial 16S ribosomal RNA". It matches the Rfam family "Bacterial small subunit ribosomal RNA", at positions 355 to 776 of the family's 1533-position model. The record is from RNAcentral. Lineage: Bacteria; Bacillati; Actinomycetota; Actinomycetes.
UAGGGAAUCUUCCGCAAUGGGCGAAAGCCUGACGGAGCAACGCCGCGUGAGUGAUGAAGGUCUUCGGAUCGUAAAACUCUGUUAUUAGGGAAGAACAAAUGAGUAAGUAACUAUGCACGUCUUGACGGUACCUAAUCAGAAAGCCACGGCUAACUACGUGCCAGCAGCCGCGGUAAUACGUGGGUGGCAAGCGUUAUCCGGAAAUAUUGGGCGUAAAGCGCGCGUAGGCGGUUUUUUAAGUCUGAUGUGAAAGCCCACGGCUCAACCGUGGAGGGUCAUUGGAAACUGGAAAACUUGAGUGCAGAAGAGGAAAGUGGAAUUCCAUGUGUAGCGGUGAAAUGCGCAGAGAUAUGGAGGAACACCAGUGGCGAAGGCGACUUUCUGGUCUGUAACUGACGCUGAUGUGCGAAAGCGUGGGGAUCAAACAGG